GACGCACGCUGGCGGCGUGCCUAAUACAUGCAAGUCGAACGCAGGGGGGACGGGUGAGUAACACGUGGGUAACCUCCCAUCAGAGGGGAUAACACUUGGAAAGAGGUGCUAAAACGAUAAGGAUGGAUGGACACGAGGUGCAGUAGCUAGGUGGUGAGGUAACGGCUCACCAAGGCCACGACGCAUCGCUGACCGGAUAGGGGGACAGGCCACACUGGGACCAAGACACGGCCCCGACUCGUACGGGAGGCAGCAGUAGGGAGUCUGCGGCAAUGGACGAAAGUCUGACCGAGCAACGCCGCGUGUGUGAAGAAGGUUUUCGGAUCGUAAAGCUCUGUUGUUAGAGAAGCGUUAUUUAACCAGAAAGCCACGGCUAACUACGUGCCAGCAGCCGCGGUAAUAC
Molecule: ribosomal RNA, 403 nt
Filed under: uncultured bacterium
Lineage: Bacteria
Description: partial 16S ribosomal RNA
Rfam family: Bacterial small subunit ribosomal RNA
Source: RNAcentral